RNAcentral lists this ribosomal RNA (253 nucleotides) under uncultured bacterium. RNAcentral's name for it is "partial 16S ribosomal RNA". It matches the Rfam family "Bacterial small subunit ribosomal RNA", at positions 524 to 776 of the family's 1533-position model. The record is from RNAcentral.
UACGUAGGGUGCGAGCGUUGUCCGGAAUUAUUGGGCGUAAAGGGCUCGUAGGCGGUUUGUCGCGUCGGGAGUGAAAACACCGGGCUUAACUCGGUGCUUGCUUUCGAUACGGGCAGACUAGAGGCAUGCAGGGGAGAAUGGAAUUCCUGGUGUAGCGGUGAAAUGCGCAGAUAUCAGGAAGAACACCCGUGGCUAAGGCGGUUCUCUAGUACGGUACUGACGCUGAGACGCGAAAGCGUGGGGAGCGAACAGG